UCAGGACGAACGCUGGCGGCGUGCUUAACACAUGCAAGUCGAGCGGAAAGGCCCUUUCGGGGGUACUCGAGCGGCGAACGGGUGAGUAACACGUGAGUAAUCUGCCCCAGGCUCUGGGAUAGCCACCGGAAACGGUGAUUAAUACCGGAUAUGACGACUGAUCGCAUGGUUGGUUGUGGAAAGUUUUUUCGGCUUGGGAUGUGCUCGCGGCCUAUCAGCUUGUUGGUGGGGUAAUGGCCUACCAAGGCUUUGACGGGUAGCCGGCCUGAGAGGGUGACCGGCCACACUGGGACUGAGACACGGCCCAGACUCCUACGGGAGGCAGCAGUGGGGAAUAUUGGACAAUGGGCGGAAGCCUGAUCCAGCAACGCCGCGUGAGGGAUGACGGCCUUCGGGUUGUAAACCUCUUUCAGUGCAGACGAAGCGCAAGUGACGGUAG
Molecule: ribosomal RNA, 439 nt
Filed under: soil bacterium 4V-12
Lineage: Bacteria
Description: bacterial SSU rRNA
Rfam family: Bacterial small subunit ribosomal RNA
Source: RNAcentral